This 253-nucleotide ribosomal RNA is filed under the name uncultured bacterium. RNAcentral describes it as "partial 16S ribosomal RNA". It matches the Rfam family "Bacterial small subunit ribosomal RNA", at positions 524 to 776 of the family's 1533-position model. The record is from RNAcentral.
GACGUAGGGGACGAGCGUUGUCCGGAUUCAUUGGGCGUAAAGCGCGUUCAGGCGGCUUAGCAAGUCGGGCAUGAAAUCUCUCGGCUCAACCGGGAGGGGCUGUCCGAUACUGCUGGGCUUGAGGGCAGUAGAGGGUGGUGGAAUUCCGGGUGUAGUGGUGAAAUGCGUAGAGAUCCGGAGGAACACCAGUGGCGAAAGCGGCCACCUGGACUGUACCUGACGCUCAAACGCGAAAGCUAGGGGAGCGAACGGG